UUAACCUGGAAUCAAAUAGGGAUACCCGCUGAACUUAAGCAUAUCAAAAGCCCGGGAGGAA
Molecule: ribosomal RNA, 61 nt
Filed under: Dothideomycetes sp. 1 GS-2016
Lineage: Eukaryota; Fungi; Ascomycota; Dothideomycetes
Description: partial 28S ribosomal RNA
Source: RNAcentral